This 254-nucleotide ribosomal RNA is filed under the name uncultured bacterium. RNAcentral describes it as "partial 16S ribosomal RNA". It matches the Rfam family "Bacterial small subunit ribosomal RNA", at positions 524 to 776 of the family's 1533-position model. The record is from RNAcentral.
UACGUAGGGGGCGAGCGUUGUCCGGAAUUAUUGGGCGUAAAGAGCUCGUAGGCGGUUUGACAAGUCGAGUGUGAAAACCCGGGGCUUACCUCCGGGACGCCACUCGAUACUGUUAUGACUUGAGUCCGGUAGGGGAGUGUGGAAUUCCUGGUGUAGCGGUGAAAUGCACAGAUAUCAGGAGGAACACCGGUGGCGAAGGCGGCACUCUGGGCCGGUACUGACGCUGAGGAGCGAGAGCUAGGGGAGCGAACAGG